RNAcentral lists this ribosomal RNA (588 nucleotides) under uncultured bacterium. RNAcentral describes it as "bacterial SSU rRNA". It matches the Rfam family "Bacterial small subunit ribosomal RNA", at positions 462 to 1047 of the family's 1533-position model. The record is from RNAcentral.
GUUAUCCCUGACGGUACCGUAAGAGAAAGCCACGGCUAACUACGUGCCAGCAGCCGCGGUAAUACGUAGGUGGCAAGCGUUGUCCGGAAUUAUUGGGCGUAAAGGGCGCGCAGGCGGCAUCGCAAGUCGGUCUUAAAAGUGCGGGGCUUAACCCCGUGAGGGGACCGAAACUGUGAAGCUCGAGUGUCGGAGAGGAAAGCGGAAUUCCUAGUGUAGCGGUGAAAUGCGUAGAUAUUAGGAGGAACACCAGUGGCGAAAGCGGCUUUCUGGACGACAACUGACGCUGAGGCGCGAAAGCCAGGGGAGCAAACGGGAUUAGAUACCCCGGUAGUCCUGGCCGUAAACGAUGGAUACUAGGUGUAGGAGGUAUCGACUCCUUCUGUGCCGGAGUUAACGCAAUAAGUAUCCCGCCUAGGGAGUACGGCCGCAAGGCUGAAACUCAAAGGAAUUGACGGGGGCCCGCACAAGCGGUGGAGUAUGUGGUUUAAUUCGACGCAACGCGAAGAACCUUACCAAGCCUUGACAUUGAUUGCUACGGAAAGAGAUUUCCGGUUCUUCUUCGGAAGACAAGAAAACAGGUGGUGCACG